Molecule: long non-coding RNA, 170 nt
Organism: Xenopus laevis (African clawed frog)
Lineage: Eukaryota; Metazoa; Chordata; Amphibia; Anura; Pipidae
Exons: 3
Source: RefSeq, a predicted model, not a curated record
AGAGGAUCUGGGAAAUGAGGAGGAGCCGGAGGAAAGUGCUCAGGAAGAACAAAUGAUUGAGCACGAGGGGGAGAAUUCCAUCAACUCCCCCCAAUCACCAACCCAAUCCAUCAACUUCCUCCACUGUCAGGAAUCAUCUGGCACCAACAACUGCCAGGAAAGCCCAGAGG